Small nucleolar RNA from Astyanax mexicanus (Mexican tetra), 69 nucleotides. Lineage: Eukaryota; Metazoa; Chordata; Actinopteri; Characiformes; Acestrorhamphidae. The record is from Ensembl.
GUAUGAAAUGAUGGUACCAUCUUUCGGGACUGACACUUAAUGGAGACAAUCCUAAUUUACUGAUCAUAC